Molecule: RNA transcript, 3886 nt
Organism: Paramormyrops kingsleyae
Lineage: Eukaryota; Metazoa; Chordata; Actinopteri; Osteoglossiformes; Mormyridae
Source: RefSeq, a predicted model, not a curated record
UUUAUUUGGUUAUUAACUUGUGCAUCUUUAUUAAUCAACAGAAUUUAAACUGCAUUUAAUUGGACGCAUGUUUUGCAGGAUUAUAUCAACAUUAAUACUCGUAUUAGCUCUACUGAUGCAGUCGGCGUCGGCCAGUGCCGACGACAGUAUCGCCUUUUCCGUCUGUUGGAUGAUAAAAGAAAAUACUUCACCUGACAGACCGGAAAUCAAGCUUUUCCUGAACGAUUCCCAGCUGGAGCCCAUAGAAACCAGGGGCAAACUGACGUCCCUAACCGUGUCCCCGUCCGACACGCACACGCUGAGACUGAAAAACGGAGGCGGCUCUCGGCUGUGGAGGUUUUCAGUAAAUUCAGGUUUGAAUACAGUCAUAGUUAGGAGUGAGUAUAAAGCUCAGGAUAAGCCAUCUGCAGAGACUUUAGAAGCUCUCAAACAUUUCAAGCCAACGCAAGUGUUUGCCUGUGAAAACAACACACUGUAUCUAUGCCAAGAAGAUGUGAUCGUCGUACUUGGCUCCACCCAUCGUUUUCCAUUGAAGGUGGUGUCCCGCAGCAGCGCCACCUUGCUGCUGUCCUGGGUGGCGGAUUCUCCCCUCCCCCCUGACCCUGUGCAUGGCGUGUCACUGUAUCGGUCACCUCCGGACGCUCAGGCUGCCAAAGUCACGUACACCACCCGUGCUGACCGAUACAGAUUUACGUCUCUGGAUGCCUGCAGUAACUAUCUGGGCUGCCUGGAGCUGGCAGGCAGCUCCUCUGUUAUUUGUCUCAAGACGCUCACGGAUCCAGAUGUCCCGAAAAACUUCAGUGUGAGGGCGUGGAACAGCAGCAGUAUUACUAUAGCUUGGGACUGCUCUGAGAAGCAGCUCUACUCCUCCUUCCUGGUCACCAUGCUCCAGCUCAAUGCCUCCAGCCACGUGGUGGAGACGGCGUCCCUCAAGCAUGAGCGGAAGCCCUUCAUCUUCACAGUCAAUGACUUGCCCCCUUGCAGCAAGGUGAAGUUCGCUCUGCAGACCGUGUGUGACUCCAGUGGCGAGUCUCGAAUGAGCAGUUCGGUCGUUAUCGACGGCAACUCCGCAAACUCUGAAAUCAGGAACCUGCGCCAGGUGGCCUCCAGCCCAGGAAGCUACUCCCUAAGAUGGACGGUGCCCAAUACCUCCUCCAUUGCUGUGUUCAGGGUCUACCACCAGGGGGCGCUUCAGAAGUCCACCUUCCUGCCGACACACAGGGUGGUGGGCUUGCAGCCCUGUGGCCGGUAUAAGGCCCGAGUGGAUGCUGUGUGUGGGGACAGCGUUGUCAUGAGCACUAGGACCAUACAGACCAGUACAGGCCCUGGGAGCAUCUUCGACCUUCAGUUUCACCAGCAGAACUCCACUGCUUCCUGGAGCUCAGCCUCAGGCCCCGCAAAGGCUUUCGCCUACAGCCUUUCCCACCCAAAUGGCUCACUUGUGAGUAGCGGGAGGGUAAGGCAAACUGAUGUGCUACUCUCGGGCUUGGUUCCUGGUAGCCCAUACCAGAUGGAGGUCUGGGAGGAGUGUGGUGGGGAGCGGGGCAGACCGGCAACGCUGCGAUUCCUCAGGCAACCGGUUCCCGACGAUGACGUCCUCUACCCUGUACCAAAGGGGAGGCACUUGGGGUCGCACUUUAAUCCCGAUUUGCAUGCUGCUAUUAUUGUACCUUGGAUGUUGCCGGAGUCCCUCAGAGAACCAAAGGCAAAAGCCCGAGUCGAGCUGGAGAGCAUCAUCAGAGCCAAAUUACAGGCCAUCUUCAGUGGGUUGCCAUAUCCAGUAGAGGUGAAACUGCUUGAAUUUGAGGACCUUAACAGUACAGGACAAACUAAGAUCCCCUUCCAAGUUUUAGACCUUUCCAAUGACGAUGUCAAAGUAAAGCUGUCCUCCGAGGAGCUGUUGACUUACAUUCAAUCACUCAGCUUAGCCCAAAUCACCAUCAAAGACCAUCUGAUCUACUGGGAUGAUCCUGAUGAGUGUGGCUCCUAUGAACUGAACUGGUGUGAUUCCAGUUCCACCUGCAUCAAUACCCUGCUCUCCUACACCUGCGUGUGUCAGGAGGGUUACUACAACGUCGGCCACUUCCUGAUUCCUCCUGUGCCCUCAGCCUGUUACAAGAAUGGGAUGUUUGUUGAGUGCAAGGAAAGCCUUGUCGCUGGUGGACUGGCAAAGGAAUUCCUGACCGGCUUCUUGGGAGGCAACGUGAGCGCCAUCCUGAAUGACGGACGCUGUGCUGUGAACGAGACUGACGCGUUCUACUUUUUCAAGAUAGCCGGUAAACCUUCGGAGUGUGGGGCUGAAAGGCAGAUGAACAAGACACACAUAGAGUUCAGUAGUUCCCUGACAGUGACACUCAGCCAUGAGAAGACAAUUACCCGGAAUGACCUCCGGUUGCUGUGGAGGUGUACCUACCCCCGCCACUUUCUGCAUGGGGCCCGGGUCAAUAUGGAUGCUGAAUGGUUUAGUUCCCAUUCUGUCGUUAGUUACAACUUCUCACACAUUCUGGAUGUUGGCAUGAUGUUGUACAAUGACACCUCCUUCAUGUACAAUUACACGGAUGGCGUGGUACUGAGCCCAGAAGACUACCUGUUCCUCGAGGUGACACUCCAAGCGCAGGACACCUUGGCCCACGAUAUGCUCCUGGCAGUGAUGUCAUGCUGGGCAACAGGCACAGUGGAUGCAGUCGAGGACAGGAAAGCCUUUUUCCUUAAAGACGGUUGCCCCUCCGAUGAUACGUUCUCCUGGCUCACACUGAAUGGGUCGGGGAAGAGCAGCAGGUUCUCUGUUCAGAUGUUCACCAUGUCUGUUAAUGAUGAACUUCCCAUCUACAUCCACUGCUUGACUAAAAUUUGCACCCCGGAUGAAGACUGUGUGACUGAAUGUCCUCCGACCAAGAACUAUCCAAAGAUGAAAAGACGACAGAGAGGGAGCAGUCAGGAGCGAUUUGCGGUUGUCUCUGCUGGCCCAGUCUUCAUGGAUCGUGGCGAGUGGAUGUCGAAAGGCGAAUUUGCAUAGCUUCUAGGACUUGAUUGAACAAUCCCUUGAAUAAUCAGCACGGCUUCUUGCUUUAUAUGCUGAAUGGGAGAGGGGAAAACAUCAUCAUUGGGGUCAUCAGGUGGGCACCCUCCAUCUUCAGUGUUUCGCUGAUUUAGCCCCAUGACACCUACGGAGGGCUCAGAAGCAACACCUAGCAUCCCAGCCAGUUGCUACUUCGGUCCGCAGCCUCUGAGAGUGACUUACUGCCUGCCGAAGGGCCUGUCCUUUCACCCCCAUCCUCUUCAGGAACCAGGUUGUAGUUUUGGCAACGAACCCUCUGCACCCAACUUCUACUGGGAACACUUUAGUACGCCAUUUGCGUUGUUCUGUGUGGGCAGCUAAUUCAGCGUACUUAAAACUUUUCCGCUCGUAUGCCUCGUCAACAGCAGCUUCCCAUGGUACCGUUAGUUCCAGAAUAUACAAAAGUUUCUGAGAAGUUGACCACAUAAUGAUGUCUGGCCUGAGGGUAGUUGUCACUAUCUCUGUUGGAAAGAUGAGCUUGUGGUCAAGGUCGACCUGGUCAAGGAGGGAGGUGUUUGCUCUUAAGGUGGACCCAUCCAUUCAUCCAUACACCACUUGUCCUAUUCCGGGUUACGGGGGGUGCAGACCCACUGCGGGGCACACUCACCUGGUGUACCCUGCUCACCUAUAAUUUGAUAACUCCAGUUGACUUUAGCACGUUUAUGGACUGUAGGAGGAACCAGAUGCAUCCCACCCAGGGAUACAAAAUUAACAAUAUGAGCAUAGGCAACUUUACCCAAAUUUUUCGUAAAAAGUUUGACUUGUGAUCGAAUUUUCCCCAUAAGAAAUGAUGGAAAACCAAUUAAUUGGUUCCCGGCCCCAAAAAAA